RNAcentral lists this long non-coding RNA (1284 nucleotides) under Homo sapiens (human). RNAcentral describes it as "HSALNT0258170". The record is from RNAcentral. Lineage: Eukaryota; Metazoa; Chordata; Mammalia; Primates; Hominidae.
GCUGGUCCCUUCUGCAAGACCCUGUCAUUAGACACAUACCUGAGUUAAGCAUCACCGUCUCAGUGAGCGGGGCUUAUCUGAGGACAGGGACUGCCUGAGGGUCCAGAGAGAGGAUGCGUCAGAAGAUGUGAAAGAGGGUGACCAUAGAAUCCCAGCUCCCCUCCAACCCAGGCAGCCCAUGGCAACCCCCAGCUUUCCCUCCUGCCCCGUGGAUGUGCACAGCAUGGCACCCAUUGGAAACAGCACACCCCUGCAAGGGCCAGGCUGGAGCCUGGCCUGUGGGGCAGGGGCUGGCUGGGCUGCAGGCCCUCAAGCUGUCUGAGCUCUCUGGCGCUACAGGGGGUGCUUCUGAGGCUUCUGAAGCUUCUCAGAGCCACAGGAAGAUGGGAUGAUAUCCACCCUCUCCAUGAUCUGCAUGUGGGGCUGCCCUGUGACACCCAUCCGCCCCAUGGGAGCUGAAUGGAAUGCACUGUUGGAAAUUAUAGGCUGUGUGAUACUUGAAAAAUGUCCAGUAGUAGGCCGGGUGCGGUGGCUUACGCCUGUAAUCCCAGCACUUUGGGAGGCCGAGAUGGGUGGAUCACGAGGUCAGGAGAUCGAGACCAUCCUGGCUAACACGGUGAAACCCCAUCUCUACUAAAAAUACAAAAAAAAAAAUUAGCCGGGUGUGGUGGCGGGCGCCUGUAGUCCCAGCUACUCGGGAGGCUGAGGCAGGAGAAUGGCGUGAACCCGGGAAGCAGAGCUUGCAGUGAGCCGAGAUCGCUCCACUGCACUCUAGCCUGGGUGACAGAGCGAGACUCCAUCUCAAAAAAAAAAAAAAAAGAAAAGAAAAAAAAAGAAAAAUGUCCAGUAGUAUCUACAACGUAGCAGAUGUCUCCACGGGCUUCUCCAUGCAGUCUGGGCAGCAUUGCAAGAGGUCCUCAGCCUCUCUGUUCACCGAUCCAUUUCCGGGAGGGAGUGGCCGGAGCCGUGCUCUGGGUCACAUGGACCUUGGGGAUGCCCUCACUCUAGGUGCCCGAGGUGCUGAGCCCAGGGCCCUCCAGUGCCAGGUUCAAGCGAUGGUCCUGCCACAUGCCUCUGCAUGAGCUCAUGCAGGUCACUUUCCUCUCUGAGCCCCAAGAUCCCCAUGACAAUGGUGCAAAAGAGCUAAUGUGGGAGAGUGCCAGCCCCCAGCAUAUACAUGUCCCUUCUUCAGCCUGUGCCAGUGAUAGUGGCAUGAGGCACAUGGUAAAUUCUAGAUGCAGUCCCUGGAUUAUUUUCCUGUGGUCACCGUAACAAAUUGUCACA